AAACCCGAUCAAACCCUAUUUUUUGGGUUUGAUCGGGUUUGGGUAGGGUGCAUACCCAUCGGGUCGGAUCGAUUUUGCCAUCCCUAAAGUUGGGCCAUACCCAGUAAGGAAGUCAAAGGAAGUUGGGCUAAGCAUAAUUGAUGAUAUAUACUUAGCUGAAGUGAAGGAAGAAGUUGAAGAAUAUCAUCACUAAUUUGCCUUAGCUUCAUCCUCAGCAGU
Molecule: long non-coding RNA, 219 nt
Filed under: Elaeis guineensis (African oil palm)
Lineage: Eukaryota; Viridiplantae; Streptophyta; Magnoliopsida; Arecales; Arecaceae
Description: long non-coding RNA (EGUI_LNC063978)
Source: RNAcentral